AGCUCCUCAAGUGGUGGGGAUGAUUAUUUGGCCUAAAGCGCCCGUAGCCUGCUCGGUAAGUCCUCCGUUAAAUCCACCGAUCUAAUCGUUGGGCCGCGGGGGAUACUGCAGAGCUUGGGGGCGGAAGAAGUCGACGGUACUCUUGGGGUAGGGGUGAAAUCCAGUAAUCCCAAGAGGACCACCAGUGGCGAAGGCGGUCGACUAGGACGCGCCCGACGGUGAGGGACGAAAGCUGGGGGAGCGAUUCGGAUUAGAUACCCGAGUAGUCC
Molecule: ribosomal RNA, 269 nt
Filed under: uncultured archaeon
Lineage: Archaea
Description: partial 16S ribosomal RNA
Rfam family: Archaeal small subunit ribosomal RNA
Source: RNAcentral